RNAcentral lists this ribosomal RNA (528 nucleotides) under uncultured Actinomycetes bacterium. RNAcentral describes it as "bacterial SSU rRNA". It matches the Rfam family "Bacterial small subunit ribosomal RNA", at positions 8 to 522 of the family's 1533-position model. The record is from RNAcentral. Lineage: Bacteria; Bacillati; Actinomycetota; Actinomycetes.
AGAGUUUGAUCAUGGCUCAGGACGAACGCUGGCGGCGUGCCUAACACAUGCAAGUUGAGCGACGAACCAGGGCUUGCCCUGGGGCAAAGCAGCGAACGGGUGAGUAACACGUGGGUAACCUGCCCCGAUGACCGGGACAACUCGAGGAAACUCGGGCUAAUACCGGAUGUGCUCGCCGGACAUCAGUCCGGCGCGUAAAGGAAGCUUCGGCCUCCGCUUCGGGAGGGGCCCGCGGCCCAUUAGCUUGUUGGUGAGGUAAUGGCCCACCAAGGCAACGAUGGGUAGCUGGUCUGAGAGGACGAUCAGCCACACUGGGACUGAGACACGGCCCAGACUCCUACGGGAGGCAGCAGUGGGGAAUCUUGCGCAAUGCGCGAAAGCGUGACGCAGCAACGCCGCGUGGGGGAAGAAGGCCUUCGGGUUGUAAACCCCUUUCAGGAGGGACGAAGGUUCGGCGGUGAAUAGCCGUCCGGACUGACGGUACCUCCACAAGAAGCCCCGGCUAACUACGUGCCAGCAGCCGCGGUA